AUCCCAUGAUGAGGACACUUACAAAGUAAAAACUUGAAUCACUCUCAAGCAUCAUACAAAGACUCGUCAUCCAAUUGUUGGAAAGUUAUGAUCUCAUUUCUCAACUU
Gossypium arboreum is the source of this 107-nucleotide non-coding RNA. The record is from Rfam. Lineage: Eukaryota; Viridiplantae; Streptophyta; Magnoliopsida; Malvales; Malvaceae.